This 369-nucleotide RNase P RNA is filed under the name uncultured Prevotella sp. RNAcentral describes it as "Bacterial RNase P class A". It matches the Rfam family "Bacterial RNase P class A". From Rfam's summary of the family: Ribonuclease P (RNase P) is a ubiquitous endoribonuclease, found in archaea, bacteria and eukarya as well as chloroplasts and mitochondria. Lineage: Bacteria; Pseudomonadati; Bacteroidota; Bacteroidia; Bacteroidales; Prevotellaceae. The record is from RNAcentral.
GCUUGUCGCUGGCGCACCGAUAAGGGGCGAAAGAGGAAAGUCCGGGCAGCAUAGGGCGCUCCACUUCUGAAAGUAGAAGCUAUUGGCAACAGUAGGCAAGAGCAGAAGAAAACAACCGCCUGCAUCGUGCAGGUAAGGGUGAGAAGGCGGUGUAAGAGACCACCAGGCGUCGGGCGAUCGGCGCGCUGUGCUCACUGGGGGCUGCAAGUUCGUGUAUACCACCGUCUGAGGGCGGCCCGUCCAAGUCGGACUCGACACGGUGGAGGGUAGAACGCUUGAGCCGGCGGGCGACCGCCGGACUAGAUAAAUGACAGGCUGUCGGGAGCGCCGUGAGGCUCCCCGACCACAGAACCCGGCUUAUAGGGGCUC